This is a long non-coding RNA of Mizuhopecten yessoensis (Yesso scallop), 561 nucleotides long. RefSeq lists it as uncharacterized. The transcript is spliced from 4 exons. Lineage: Eukaryota; Metazoa; Mollusca; Bivalvia; Pectinida; Pectinidae. The record is from RefSeq and is a predicted model, not a curated record.
CACAGAUCAUUACGCCAUAUGUUAUACAUGUACACUGUAGGAUUUAAAACUACAUCGAACCCGUACGUUAUCUUACAUUUAUAUGUAUCAUAUAAAAGAUCAGACUGCAGUGAAGUCGAAGCCCAUUAUACGUACACGAAUAUCCUAAAAUGAAAACACGUCUAUUUGGAUACAAUUUACAACCACAUCGUACCCCAGGGUAUUGUACAUAACCGACUUGUCAGUUUUGACGCAUACGAUCUCCUAAACAGUGAUUCAACAAAAGGAAGGAAAUUGCACCUUAAUUGUACAAGAAAGCUAAGAUGAUGAGCUGACUUACCGCAGGAAAGACUAGAGUUUAAUAACGUUGAGAAUGGCCUCGGGUUCUGGAGGAGACAAGAAAGAUGAGCUGACUUACUGCAGGAAAGACUAGUUUUGAUAACGCUGAGAAUGGCGUCGGGUUCAGGAGGAGAUAGGAAACGGGUACGACUGGAUAGAACACCACAACGUAAGUAAUAACUUUACGAAUGUUCGUGUUGACCUCCUGCUCCACCUGUUUAAAUUUUAUUGGGAAACUACACA